This 429-nucleotide ribosomal RNA is filed under the name Caulobacter vibrioides. RNAcentral describes it as "partial 16S ribosomal RNA". It matches the Rfam family "Bacterial small subunit ribosomal RNA", at positions 355 to 776 of the family's 1533-position model. RNAcentral also lists the same sequence under 3 other names. Lineage: Bacteria; Pseudomonadati; Pseudomonadota; Alphaproteobacteria; Caulobacterales; Caulobacteraceae. The record is from RNAcentral.
UGGGGAAUAUUGGACAAUGGGCGAAAGCCUGAUCCAGCCAUGCCGCGUGUGUGAAGAAGGCCUUCGGGUCGUAAAGCACUUUAAGUUGGGAGGAAGGGCUCAUAGCGAAUACCUGUGAGUUUUGACGUUACCAACAGAAUAAGCACCGGCUAACUUCGUGCCAGCAGCCGCGGUAAUACGAAGGGUGCAAGCGUUAAUCGGAAUUACUGGGCGUAAAGCGCGCGUAGGUGGCUUGAUAAGUUGGAUGUGAAAUCCCCGGGCUCAACCUGGGAACUGCAUCCAAAACUGUCUGGCUAGAGUGCGGUAGAGGGUAGUGGAAUUUCCAGUGUAGCGGUGAAAUGCGUAGAUAUUGGAAGGAACACCAGUGGCGAAGGCGACUACCUGGACUGACACUGACACUGAGGUGCGAAAGCGUGGGGAGCAAACAGG